CGAAAGAGCGAUGGAGACUGCGGCCCAAGUUAGGAUUAGGACAGCGGUAUUUCAGUCCGGAGAUUCCGGCCACAACUAUUUUUGUCUGUUUUUAUCGUAAGCCAGAGUCUUUGGGUGCAGCUCUGGGACACCUAAAGGGCCUGGAGAAAUUCAGGCGGGGCCAGUGCUGUGGGGGUAGAUGUUAGACGUGGAAGGGACCCUAGAGAGCCUUGACUGUGAGGACUGAGGGCCUCCUUUGUUGCCCAGGCCGGAGUGCAGUGGCUAUUCACAGGUCGAUAAUGCAAUCAUGGUGCACACUACAGCCCUGAACUUCUGGGCUCAUGUGAUCCUUCUGCCUCAGCCUCCCAAGGUACAGUUCAGUAGUGGUAAGUAUAUUGACAUUGUGAAACAGAUCUCCAGAACUUUUCAUCUUGCAAAACUGAAAACGCUAUACCCCUUAAACAACAACAACAACAACAACCCGUUUUCCCCUCCCUCCAGGCCCUGGUAACUAUCAUUCUACUUUCUAUUUCUAUAAAUUUGACUACUUUAGAUAUCUCCUAUAAGUGAAAUUAUACAGUGUUUGUCUUUUUGUGACUGGCUUAUUUCACUUAGCAUAAUGUCCUCAAGGCUCAUGUUGUAAUAUGCAACAGGGUUUCCUUUUCAAGUCUGAAUAAUAUUCCAUUGUAUGUGUAUACCACAUUUUGUUUAUCUAUUCACUCUUUGAUGGGCAUUUGUGUUGCUUCUAUGUCUUAGCUAUUGUGAAUAGUGCUGCAGUGAACAUGGGUAUGCAAAUAUCUGAGACCCUGCUUUCAAUUCUUUUGUUUAUAUACCCAGAAGUGAAAUUGCUGGAUCAUAUAGUAGUUCUAUUAGUAUUUUGAGGAAGCACCAUAGUUAACUUUGGUGACUUUAACUACCAUAUGUGCAGCUAACUUCCAAAUCUAUAUCCCUUGCCUUAAUCUCUGUCUCCUGAAAUAUACUGAUAUGAGGUCCAAAAGGAGGGAAAUAUGUUUUAUCUUUGUAUCUCUUGUUUUUGUAUCUACUUGUAUACUUGGUAUACAAGUAGACUCUAAAUAAAUUCUUGUUGAAGAAACUAUGCCUUUUUAAUUCUGAGUGUGAGGGAGCUAAAGUCCAAAUUUUUUUCCAUUGAUUAUUGUGUAAAUCACUGUUGUAAGCUUCUUAAUGAUGGUCACUGUGCAAUAUACUUACCUGUUUGGUUAUAAUGCCUACCAGUGCUUUACACAUACAAGGUAGCAAGUAUCUCACUCAUUAAAUCUGGUAAUAAUUGCAAAUAUUUAUCAAACUGAGUAGCAGUGGUUCAGUAUUGAAAUGCUUGCAAAAUUUCUCUUUCCUGUUUCUAAUUAAAACAUAAGGGGAAAAUAUGGGAAUUAAUAUGGUAUCAUGAGAACCCUAUACAUAUUUUAGGAUAAACACAAAUCUGUGGGCCAUAUAGUGAUGAACACUUUCUGGUCAUAAGACCUCAGUAAAAUAGAACAUGCUGAUAAAAUUUUCAGAAAAGUCUAGGAAAUAGCAAAUUUAUAUCACCACUGGGGGGAAAGGGAUUUUUUUUAAAAAACCUUGUUGAAGCAUAUGGGCACUCAAUAUUAUUUAUGAGAUGAUAGCAAGCGUACUGAGUAACAUUUUAAACAAUAUUCUGAAAACAUCUUGAAACGAAAAUUCAGCCCAGAUUUAUAAAGGAAAAAAAGCAAUCUAACACCAACGUGAUUGAGGACACAAAAUUUAAUCAUUGCUUAAAGAUUAUCAGAUAUUUCUCUUUCACUACUGAACGGAGAUUUAAUACUUGCAGUAACUUCUGCCAACUCAGAACCCUGAGAAAAUAAGUCACUUUCUUUACAGAAAUAAGAAGAAAAAAAGGAUAUUACCAACAAUGGAAGAGGAAUGCAGAGUGGCAACAAGUGGACCUGGCAGACUAUGAACACUAGAAUCACCAAGGAAACAUGGAGCUAUGAAAUGGCAAAAGGCUGUGUGAAAACCCUGAAGCUUUUUGGUUCAGCCUUUAAAAACCAAAUGAAAACUCAAGAGAUACAAGAAUGUGGUUAUUUUGAUGAACAACUCACAAACUAGUUGAAUUAAAAGAAACUGGUUCAAAUGAACACAAACCUAAACAUUUUUUCAGUUCGUCUAAUUAAAGUCUAACCAAUUCCUUCUAAUUUAAAAGAUCCAGUUUUGGAUAUAUCCAAGACUAAAACACAGUCUCAUCAAAGUCUAUUUAAUGUGGUGUAAAUCUCACGGGAAC
Gorilla gorilla gorilla (western lowland gorilla) is the source of this 2236-nucleotide long non-coding RNA. RefSeq lists it as uncharacterized. The record is from RefSeq and is a predicted model, not a curated record. NCBI's taxonomy places the organism in Eukaryota, Metazoa, Chordata, Mammalia, Primates, Hominidae. The transcript is spliced from 3 exons.